This is a non-coding RNA of Mycobacterium kansasii 824, 72 nucleotides long. The record is from Rfam. NCBI's taxonomy places the organism in Bacteria, Bacillati, Actinomycetota, Actinomycetes, Mycobacteriales, Mycobacteriaceae.
AGCGCUGCGCAAGUGGGCCGACGGUCGACUCCGGCAGUGUCAGGGGUUUCAGCUCGCCCCGGAAAGCUGCAA